Molecule: non-coding RNA, 267 nt
Organism: Plectropomus leopardus (leopard coralgrouper)
Lineage: Eukaryota; Metazoa; Chordata; Actinopteri; Perciformes; Serranidae
Source: RefSeq, a predicted model, not a curated record
UUUAGAUAUUUGAGGAUUUAAAAAAUCGCCAGCCCGUGUGCUUCAUUAUGAGAAGCUUCUGGGUUCGGGACACAACCCAGAAAUAUAUUAAUUAAAGCGCACUACUACAGACUUUUUAGCACUGGGGGAAGAUGUGGCUGGAUCAAGUCAAGCUCUGUCAACUAGGGGUGGAUGAAGAUUCACGGCAGGAAAAAGAAAAAACCUAGAGUAAAGUUGGUGCUGGGCUCCCACCGUGGCCCAGACGGGGGUAAUUUGAUAGCAAGGCAA